UAAUAUAUUCUACGCGUCGCGCGUUAAGAACUUAAGAUGAUUACAUCUAUCUCCAUCAUAUUCUGUUUCCUUAUUAUCCGGUCAUCCCAAAUUGAUCAUUUUGUUCGUAAAUCUAACUUUGUGAUCAAUAACGCUUUUCGUUAAGACAGAAAACCACCAAAAAAGCAUUAAAUUUAACAAAUCACUUUAUCUACUUUCCCCUAUCUCACAACAAAAUUCAUUAUAUUAAUUUAUACCUCCUGAAAACAUAAACAAUUCACAUAUACAGUGAUAUACAUGCCCUAAUUGAAAACCACACCUCCAUAAAACCUAAUAACACAACAUUUAGCUCUAACCACAACAUAACUCCACAAUACUCUUCACACAUUGUCCAAUCCAUAUCAAAAUCAUCAACAUCAACACCUAUAUGAUUCCAGAAACAUCACAGCUUCAAACAUAACAAAAAAAAAAA
Molecule: long non-coding RNA, 451 nt
Filed under: Helianthus annuus (common sunflower)
Lineage: Eukaryota; Viridiplantae; Streptophyta; Magnoliopsida; Asterales; Asteraceae
Description: hypothetical non coding rna
Source: RNAcentral